RNAcentral lists this long non-coding RNA (2221 nucleotides) under Arabidopsis lyrata. RNAcentral describes it as "long non-coding RNA (ALYR_LNC000635)". The stretch from base 1 to 215 matches the Rfam family "Plant small nucleolar RNA U3". Lineage: Eukaryota; Viridiplantae; Streptophyta; Magnoliopsida; Brassicales; Brassicaceae. The record is from RNAcentral.
ACCUUACUUGAACAGGAUCUGUUCUAUAGGCUCGUACCUCUGUUUCCUUGAUUUCUCAAGAGACAGGCCCUUAACCCUGGUUGAUGAACCAUGACCGUGCUAUCAGAGCGUGAUUAACGGCCACGAUCAUCUUCGGACGCAUCCGGUGCUGUAGAGGAUCGUUACUCGGCUCGGUUCUACCUUGCCGGGGUGGUUGCACGGCGGUCUGACAGGUUCCUUUUUUUUCAUUCACUCGGUUCUUUAUUUUAAACAACGUAAGCUAUAUAAAUAUACAAUCCAAAACAUAGAGUCAUUGAUGAGAACUAAAAGGUGCUAAAGAGAUAUUUGACUAUAACCAUUACAAAAUAAUAAGAAGAAGCAAUGAGACGUACGAGAGAACUGACAAUGCCUAAAAAAGUUAUUUCGUAGUAAAAGUUUGUGAAUAGUGACAUUGACAUCAUCGCACAACUGCAUAGGAAGAAACUCAAGUGAGAUCAGCCUCGAAUCUGAGUUGUAUAGUGCUAUAUCGUGCAUCAUACAAUGAGGUAGUUGAUCUUAGUUAACCUUCAUGAAUUGAUACUUUUUUUUUAAUCAAUCCGAUGAGAUUAAAAGAGAUCAACUACACAACUGGACAUUGUACAAUUCAGAUUCUCUUAAGCUCCUUUCGAUGCAGCCUUGUGAUGAUCUCACUAUUUUCAUGGUGAACUUGUCUUCUUUCUGUUUUAUAGAGGAGAGUCCAUUGGUUAAUUGGUGAUGGUUUUAGGUAUCUAAAGAAACAAAUAAUUUAUAGGGUAAAAUAACUAAUGAAUACAAUAAAUUCAUUACGAGAGUUACAGUUUGAGAAUCGUCCGUUAUGACAAUCUUUGUAAUAAAAACAUAGACACUUCACCAUUUGAUUCGAAUAUAUAUUUAUUAUAUUGUUGUUAUAUAAACGCUGUAACCAGCCCCGGCUCAUAUGGGUAGGGCGGAGGUGCGACGGCCCGGGACUUUUUUUUUUUAUAAAAAAUUUUUACAUAUAAAAAAGGCCCAAAUAUUUUUUAAAAAUAUUAUUAAUAUGAGAAUUAUAUUUUAAGAGGCCUAAUUAUUUAUAAGAAAAUGUAUAAAAAGGCCCAAAAUUUUUAAAAUAACAAUUUUUACUAUAAAAACUCCGCAAAAUUUUUAAAAAUUAAGUAAAUUUUCUCUUUGUAUAUAAUAAUAGGCCAAAAUUUUUUUUUUUGCUCUAAGGCUCUCAAAUAUGUUGAGCCGGGGCUGGCUGUAACAAAUCGGAUGUAUUAAAAGACUAAAAUAUGUAUUAAAAUCUGUUACGUUUUUUGGUUUUAUAAUAACACAAGUUCUAUACUCAAUUUUCUUCAGCAUUUUUAAGCCUCUAGUUGAGCAAAUCCCUAUUUUACUCGUAUACAACAUUCGGUAGUUUUUUCCCAACCUGAAUUUCAUCCAUUUUCUCUUCAUUUUUUAAUUUUCGUGAACCAAAUAGCCCAGACUUUUCUCAGUUCUAUUCACCAUCUAUGCACAAUUUUGUGAUGCAUUUUCUUAUAUACUAUAAAGGAAACGCUAUAAUUUAAGCAAAUAUUUGUUUUUAAAAUUAUGAGUUUCAUUCUUGAAACAUGUAACCAACCCACGUUGGUCCAGUUGGUAAAGGGCUCACGGCUGUGAGUUCCCUCUCCUGGGUUCGAUUCGGGUUGGCCACCUAGCCGCUCCCUUAACGAUGGGAUAAAGCGUACCCGGAUGCAAGACCUCGUGGAUUAGUCUUUGGGCCUAGAAAGCCUUUGGGAUGACCACGGUUAUCAAAAAAAAAAAAAAAAAAAAAAAAAGAAACAUGUAAACAAUUAUAAAACAAACUCGUGAAACAUGUGGAUCCAAAAACAGAAGUUUUUGACUAUCACGUUUUUAGGAGAUCAAUUCAUCGCACAUAAUGCAACCAAACCCGCAAUGAGUUAAGACUACUUAAGAGAUGGGAUUUAAAUAUGGGCCUUUGCAGUUUAUACACAUUACAAGAUAUUGCAUCUGUCCCACAUCGUUCAAGUCUAAACAAAACUUGCUGAGAGAGCACCGAUGGUCACGACCUUACUUGAACAGGAUCUCCUCUAUAGAUUUGUACUUCUGUUUCAUUGAUUUCUCAAGAGACAGGCCCUUAACCCUGGUUGAUGAACCAUGACCGUGCGAUCAGAGUGUGAUUAACGGCUACGAUCGUCUUCGGACGCAUUCGGUGCUGUAGAGGAUCGUUACUCGGCUCGGUUCUACC